RNAcentral lists this ribosomal RNA (406 nucleotides) under uncultured bacterium. RNAcentral's name for it is "partial 16S ribosomal RNA". It matches the Rfam family "Bacterial small subunit ribosomal RNA", at positions 28 to 526 of the family's 1533-position model. The record is from RNAcentral.
GAUGAACGCUAGCUACAGGCUUAACACAUGCAAGUCGAGGGACCGGCGCACGGGUGAGUAACACCUAUCCACCCAGCCCUUUACUCGGGGAUAGCCUUUCGAAAGAAAGAUUAAUACACGAUAUAAAGGAUGGGGAUGCGUUGCUUUAGGUUGUUGGUGAGGUAACGGCUCACCAAGCCUUCGAUGGAUAGGGGUGAUGAGAGGAAGGACCCCUACGAUGGAGCUGAGACACAAUCCAAAUGCGUACGGGAGGCAGCAGUUACGGGUAUUAGGAAAUGGGAGCAAGCCUGAACCGGCCAAGUGGCGUGAAGAAUGAAGCCUGAGGGGUAUGAAGCUUCUUGUAUAGAAGAAUAUGUAUUAUAAGAAGAAGUAUCGGCUAACUACGUGCCAGCCGCCGCGGUAAUAC